Molecule: ribosomal RNA, 483 nt
Filed under: uncultured bacterium
Lineage: Bacteria
Description: bacterial SSU rRNA
Rfam family: Bacterial small subunit ribosomal RNA
Source: RNAcentral
AAUCAACGCUGGCGGCGUGCCUCAGACAUGCAAGUCGAACGAUUAAGACUUCCUUCGGGAAGUGCAUAAAGUGGCGCACGGGUGAGUAACACGUAAGUAAUCUACCUUCGAGUGGGGAAUAACGUUCGGAAACGAACGCUAAUACCGCAUAAUGCAGCGGCAUCGCAAGAUGACAGUUGUUAAAGGAAUUUAUUUCGCUUGAAGAGGAGCUUGCGGCAGAUUAGCUAGUUGGUAAGGUAACGGCUUACCAAGGCUACGAUCUGUAUCCGGACUAAGAGGACGGUCGGACACACUGACACUGAAUAACGGGUCAGACUCCUACGGGAGGCAGCAGUCGGGAAUUUUGGGCAAUGGGCGAAAGCCUGACCCAGCAACGCCGCGUGAAGGAUGAAGUAUUUCGGUAUGUAAACUUCGAAAGAAUGGGAAGAAUAAAUGACGGUACCAUUUAUAAGCUCCGGCUAACUACGUGCCAGCAGCCGCGGU